UACGGAGGAUCCAAGCGUUAUCCGGAAUCAUUGGGUUUAAAGGGUCCGUAGGCGGUUUAAUAAGUCAAUGGUGAAAGCCCAUCGCUCAACGGUGGAACGGCCAUUGAUACUGUUAAACUUGAAUUAUUAGGAAGUAACUAGAAUAUGUAGUGUAGCGGUGAAAUGCUUAGAGAUUACAUGGAAUACCAAUUGCGAAGGCAGGUUACUACUAAUGGAUUGACGCUGAUGGACGAAAGCGUGGGUAGCGAACAGG
This 253-nucleotide ribosomal RNA is filed under the name uncultured bacterium. RNAcentral's name for it is "partial 16S ribosomal RNA". It matches the Rfam family "Bacterial small subunit ribosomal RNA", at positions 524 to 776 of the family's 1533-position model. The record is from RNAcentral.